Molecule: ribosomal RNA, 435 nt
Filed under: Cortinarius sp. F15833
Lineage: Eukaryota; Fungi; Basidiomycota; Agaricomycetes; Agaricales; Cortinariaceae
Description: eukaryotic LSU rRNA
Rfam family: Eukaryotic large subunit ribosomal RNA
Source: RNAcentral
AAUCUGGCAGUCUUUGGCUGUCCGAGUUGUAAUCUAGAGAAGYGUUAUCCGCGCUGGACCGUGUACAAGUCUCCUGGAAUGGAGCGUCAUAGAGGGUGAGAAUCCCGUCUUUGACACGGACUACCAGGGCUUUGUGAUGCGCUCUCAAAGAGUCGAGUUGUUUGGGAAUGCAGCUCAAAAUGGGUGGUAAAUUCCAUCUAAAGCUAAAUAUUGGCGAGAGACCGAUAGCGAACAAGUACCGUGAGGGAAAGAUGAAAAGAACUUUGGAAAGAGAGUUAAACAGUACGUGAAAUUGCUGAAAGGGAAACGCUUGAAGUCAGUCGCGUUGUCCAGGGAUCAACCUUGCUUUUGCUUGGUGCAUUUUCUGGUUGACGGGUCAGCAUCAAUUUUGACCAUUGGAAAAAGAUUAAGGGAAUGUGACAUCUUAGGAUGUGU